RNAcentral lists this ribosomal RNA (1242 nucleotides) under Triticum aestivum (bread wheat). Its description in RNAcentral is "partial small subunit ribosomal RNA". Lineage: Eukaryota; Viridiplantae; Streptophyta; Magnoliopsida; Poales; Poaceae. The record is from RNAcentral.
AUGGCCGGCGAUGGGACCGACGCCGCCUUCGAGGACGAGGUGGAGCCGACGGUCACCAUCAGCGAGUACAUGGACGGCAUCGAGGCCGAGGAGCUGGAGGCGGAUUUGGUGCUGGGCGGGGACGACGGCAACGAGUGCACCUACGGCGCCGGCUACCUGAAGCGCCAGGCCGUCUUCUCCUGCCUCACCUGCGUGCCCGACGGCGUCGCCGGGGUCUGCACCGCCUGCUGCCUCGCCUGCCACGACGGCCACGAGGUUGUUGAACUUUGGACGAAGCGAAAUUUUCGUUGUGACUGUGGCAACUCAAAGUUUGGAGGUCACCUCUGCAAACUUAGCCCUGAGAAAGACCCUGAAAAUCCAGCAAAUUCUUAUAAUCAGAACUUCAAGGGUUCCUACUGCACAUGCAGUAGGCCCUAUCCUGAUCCAGAAGCCAAGGAGCAAGUUGAAAUGAUACAGUGCUGUAUCUGCGAGGACUGGUUUCAUGAAGAUCAUAUUGGGCUUGACUCUUUGGAGAAGAUACCAAGAGAUGAGGAAGGGGAGCCACUGUAUGAAGAAUUCAUAUGCCAUCAAUGCUCGCCUGUUUGUUAUUUCUUGAAACUCUAUCCUGAUACGAUCUGGGCUUCUAGUAAGCAGAGUUCUGCGUCAGAAGCUGUUACUGCCGGUUCAAAUGGUGUGGAAGGAGGUUCUUCAGGUCAUGCUGACACUGAGAAAAAUGAAAACGGUGCCCCUGUAGACCAUCAAAGCAUUGAAAAUACCUCUGUUGAGGGGAACUGUACAAAAGGCAUUGCAGCUUCAGAUAAGUCCAUUUUGGUUGACAAUUCAGGUGUCAACUGUAAGAUAGGAGUGGAUAUAAAUACAACAUCAGCUGAUUCAGAGAAAACUAUGCCCUUUUUCAUGUCAAAAGGCUGGAGAGAGACCCUGUGUAAAUGUGGAACAUGCACCAACUUCUAUGCACAACGAGGCAUUGCACAUCUUACUGAUAAGGAGGACUCUAUUGAGGAAUAUGAGAAGAUAGCUAAGCAGAAAAGGGAGAAGAAGUUGGAGCAGCAGGAAGGAGCUGAAGCUAACUUCAUCAAUUCACUUAACCAUGUCCAGAAGAUAGAGAUUCUGAGUGGCAUCAAUGACAUGAAAAAUGAGUUUCAAUCCUUUAUGGAAUCCUUUGAUCCAUCAAAACCAGUUACAUCUGAUGAUGUAAAAUCUAUUUUCGAGAAUCUUGCUAGGAAGAAGCAGAGGUUAUCCUGA